UACGAGUGCCUCAAGCGUUAUCCGGAAUCAUUGGGCGUAAAGGGUGUGUAGGCGGUGUUGUUAGUCUUUUGUUAAAAACCCGGGCUUAACCCGGGCGAUGCGAGAGAAACGGCAACACUAGAAGGUGCGAGAGGUGAGUGGAACUCAUGGUGUAGGGGUGAAAUCCGUUAAUAUCAUGGGGAACACCAAAGGCGAAGGCAACUCACUGGCGCAUUCUUGACGCUGAGACACGAAAGCGUGGGUAGCGAAUGGG
RNAcentral lists this unclassified non-coding RNA (253 nucleotides) under uncultured Parcubacteria group bacterium. RNAcentral's name for it is "contains 16S-23S intergenic spacer region". It matches the Rfam family "Bacterial small subunit ribosomal RNA", at positions 524 to 776 of the family's 1533-position model. The record is from RNAcentral.